This is a long non-coding RNA of Hyla sarda, 527 nucleotides long. RefSeq lists it as uncharacterized. The record is from RefSeq and is a predicted model, not a curated record. The transcript is spliced from 3 exons. NCBI's taxonomy places the organism in Eukaryota, Metazoa, Chordata, Amphibia, Anura, Hylidae.
GAUGUCUAGGGGCAGAGUACCCCUUUAAACCUCUUCAGAACCCUAUAUAUAUAUACAUGUAUAUAUUAGUGGCUGAUAUCUGUCAUUAUGGAGCCUGCAUAAGAUGAUCGGUGAUCAGGCUGCACAAAGAAUUCCUUCCUAAAAACCAUACAAUAGAGCUCCGGUUGAUGAUACACAGCAGUCGUCACGUGGCGCUUUCUAUUUGUGUCUGCCUCAGAGACUGGGAUUAUUUAUGUUAAUACGGGAAGUUUCCUCAUUUUACACCAUCUAGGUAACAUCUUGCUGAACUGAGAACAAUGAUCCUCAUGGGAAGGCUUGACAGGGGGCGGGCAAGAACAGAGUAUUACACAGCCGAUGUCCCGGUCUAAUGGCAGAAACCUCUGAUAUCUCUUGAUCUGCUGUUAAACCACUUGUAUGCAGUGAUCAAAGCUGACUGUGGCAUACGAGUGUACACAGAGAAAGGAACACCCAUGCUCAGCAUUAACAGUAUGUCCGAUUUUUAUUUUACCCUUUUCCCCACCAAAAUA